This 285-nucleotide long non-coding RNA is filed under the name Helianthus annuus (common sunflower). Its description in RNAcentral is "hypothetical non coding rna". The stretch from base 154 to 285 matches the Rfam family "Small nucleolar RNA snoR74". Lineage: Eukaryota; Viridiplantae; Streptophyta; Magnoliopsida; Asterales; Asteraceae. The record is from RNAcentral.
UAAUGAAGGAAGCAUGGUAAUGUGCACGGAGAGUGAGCAACUUUUAGGUCGUCAUGUCUGCUCCCUCUGAAUUUCUCUGAUUUGGGGGCCUGGAUUAGACCUACACUUCCUUUUUUGUUUAAAAUAAUUGAAUAUAUUAUAAGAACCUGAUGUAUAAAAGCAGGGAUCGAUUGCCUUUGUGAAUUGAUCUCCCGUAAGCUUCAGGGAAAUAGAGUGGGCAUCGUUAUUGGGUGAACCUCUUGAUCUUUUCAUGACGGAUAAGGUUCAGUAAACGAAGCUAUAUUU